CAGAGUUACGUUGCCCUCCGGGGUAUACCUCCCACCCUUGUGUAUUCUCUACAUCUUGUUGCUUUGGCGGGCCCGUUCCUCGGACCACCGGCUCUCGGCUGGUCAGUGCCCUGCCAGAGGACCUCAAACUCUGUUUGUCAUAUGUCGUCUGAGUACCUAUAUAAUCGUUA
Molecule: unclassified non-coding RNA, 170 nt
Filed under: soil metagenome
Description: partial internal transcribed spacer 1
Source: RNAcentral